This 494-nucleotide ribosomal RNA is filed under the name uncultured bacterium. Its description in RNAcentral is "bacterial SSU rRNA". It matches the Rfam family "Bacterial small subunit ribosomal RNA", at positions 30 to 507 of the family's 1533-position model. The record is from RNAcentral.
AUGAACGCUAGCGGCAGGCUUAAUACAUGCAAGUUGAGGGGCAGCAUGAUAUACGCGAGUAUAUUGAUGGCGACCGGCGGACGGGUGAGUAAUAGGUAGGAGACCUACCUCAUACAGGGGGAUAGCAUAGAGAAAUCUGUGGUAAUACCCCAUGAGGUUAUAUGAAUAGAGGCAUAUAAUCAAAGCAUAAGCGAUUAUGCGGUAUGAGAGGGGCCUACUGACCAUUAGCUAGUUGGUGAGGUAAGGGCUCACCGAGGCGAAGAUGGUUAGGGGUUUUGAGAGAGAGACCCCCCACAUUGGAACUGAGAGACGGUCCAGACUCCUACGGGAGGCAGCAGUAGGGAAUAUUGGGCAAUGGGCGAAAGCCUGACCCAGCCAUGCCGCGUGAAGGAAGACGGCCUUAUGGGUUGUAAACUUCUUUACUACGCGAAUAGAGGUUAGUACGAGAUACUAAUAGGAAGGUAGUGUAGUAAAAAGCACCGGCUAACUCCGUG